GUAGGCACUAUGGCCGCAUAGAUCGCCCUUGCCGCAGGUGACCGGGAAGGAGAAAUGUCCCGGUCCGGGCAAUAAAACCGGUGGCAUUUUGGGCUUAGUCCUCACCCGAAUGUCCUUUAGCCCAAGCAAAGCUGCUGCAGAUGAAGCAGUUCCCCAAGAGAGACAAGAAAGUACCCGAAGUCAAGAUGGAGAAACCGCAAGGUCAAGUGGGUUUGUCCUGCAGAGCCGUCAGCACUGUGCAAGACCCUGGGAGCCUGGCCCAGGUCCCCAUAGAGGGGGUAGAUGAACCAUCCCUGGAGACAUCCCAGGCCAGGCUGGACGGGGCUCUGAGCAACCUGAGCUGGUGAAGAUGUCCCUGUCAUGGCAGGGGGGCACUGGGGAGCUGGGAAGGUCCCUUCAACCCAAAUUGGUCUGUGAGUCUGUAGUAAAGAAAGAAACAUCCCCAGCCCUGGAGCAGAGCGACGCUGCAGCGCCCAGCGCGGACCUUCACUGAGCAGAGUGUCUCCAAACACAACAUACGGAUGGUCCUGGACCUUCAAGAGCCGCUUCCUACUUACAGCACCACAACAGUCCCCGGAAAGAAGGGCCGGUGUCAGGCGGUGGUGGGACAGGAGCUCUCCAGGCCCCGGUUCAACCUCCCGCUCACCACGGGACCAUCGCCCACAUGGGACCACGGUGGCUGCGGCUUAGUCUGAGCUUUGGAAGGUUCCCCAGCCUGGGGACACGAUGCAGGACAGCCCAGGGCUGUGCCCAUGUGACCCCCAGACAGGAGGUGCCCAAGUUUUCUCUUCAAAACGUUGAGAUUAUUUCUGUGCUUCAGAAUGACCUGUCACAGAAAGGCCAGAACGCGCCAAAGACGACGUUUGCUGCGCUUCUCCCACCCUUGUGCUAACGCUCCUGCAAGGACGCAUUCAAUUUACACAAGUUUUUAAUAUUCUCAUCCUUGCUUGGAAGUGCAAGACCCAAAGCAAAGCCAAUGGGAAGCCGACGUUCCCGCCGAUUCCAUACCGGGAGAUGAAGAGACGCGGCUCUCGGAGCGCAGGGACCACGCGCAGGACAUCCCACCGCCCUCUCCUUCCCCAGCCGCGCUCCCCAGGCACGCUGCCCACCCCUGUGGACGCUCACCGUCCGGUUCUCCCUCCACCCAUGUAGAAAUUGUUAAUUUUUCUCCUGAUUCAGUUACCGUCUGGAUCUCAGCCCUCCCAACUCAUCCCGACCAUUUCUCCCAUCACUAAACGCAUCCUCCCCGCACCCCGACGACCCCUCAGUGCUCUUCCUGACCCACUAAACCCCUCCUCACCCUCUUUCUCCUGCUUUUCUGGGUUUCUCUUCCUCGUUUUAUGAGCACACCUGAUAUUCAGGCAAUCAGUGUCAUUACGAAACCACUGCUGCCUUCUCCAGCGCUCGGUGGUUUCAAGCAGAGCACGGUGUCGCCUCCGGAGAGGCUUGAAAAGUGUGAGAACUGCGUUCUUGUGCGUCACUGUCUUUCUUUAGACUUCAGUGAACCGAUUUCAAAGAAAACCAUGUAAACAGAGACACAAUGGUCAACGGUAAAGCCGCAGCGGAGCUUUCUUCACCACAGAAUCGCACGCUUUGCUUCUUGCUUCAGGUCUCAAGGGACGUUCUCUCUGAAGUUGUCGCCACCGCGCUCUCCUUCAUCCUCUGCCGCGCUUGUUUCACCAUCCGCUUUCAAUACCAGCUCGGUCACUCCCGUCACAAAACCUUAUUUUCUGCAAAGCACCACUCGUUCCAGCCGACAUUUCAAAAAGGAACUUUGAAGAGGCAGAUUCAGGAAAAUCUUUUAUAUAUAGACAUAUAUAUAUAUAUUAUUUGUCCACCACCCAAUUCUCCCAGAAAUAAAUCAAUAUAUCAUUUCCUCCUCUAGACACAAAUACCAUCCUUUGGAAUGGUUUCAUUUCAGUGUAUUUUUCAAAGCAAUCAACAGUAACCAUCACCAAGCUGACACGGAUUUGGACGGCAGCCGUUCCCACAGCGUCUCGCUGCGGAUUGAUUUAUUCCCCUGUGACAGAAUCGCUCCAGUUCCGCUCCCUCUCCAGCACAAUCUCACCCGGUUCAUUCAGAGUCGCUCCCUCAGACUUUCUUCUCUAUGAACGCGGUAUGUUGGCCCUGAAGGUAACUCACUAUUUUUUCCUCUAUUUCCAUGC
Molecule: long non-coding RNA, 2165 nt
Organism: Columba livia (rock pigeon)
Lineage: Eukaryota; Metazoa; Chordata; Aves; Columbiformes; Columbidae
Exons: 2
Source: RefSeq, a predicted model, not a curated record